GACAGAGGUGGCAAGCGUUGUUCGGAGUUACUGGGCGUAAAGAGUCUGUAGGUGGUCUGUCAAGUCUUUGGUGAAAGGCCGUGGCUUAACCAUGGGAAUGCCAAAGAGACUGGCAGACUGGAGGCUGGGAGAGGGAAGCGGGAUUUCUGGUGUAGCGGUGAAAUGCGUAGAUAUCAGAAGGAAGGCCGGUGGCGAAGGCGGCCUCCUGGAAUAGGCCUAACACUGAGAGACGAAAGCGUGGGGAGCAAACAGG
Molecule: ribosomal RNA, 253 nt
Filed under: uncultured Leptospirillum sp.
Lineage: Bacteria; Pseudomonadati; Nitrospirota; Nitrospiria; Nitrospirales; Nitrospiraceae
Description: partial 16S ribosomal RNA
Rfam family: Bacterial small subunit ribosomal RNA
Source: RNAcentral